Candidatus Pacearchaeota archaeon CG1_02_35_32 is the source of this 72-nucleotide non-coding RNA. NCBI's taxonomy places the organism in Archaea, Nanobdellati. The record is from Rfam.
GCCUGCAUAGCUCAGGGGUAGAGCAUUAGUUUUGUAAACUAAGGGUCGGGGGUUCGACUCCCUCUGCAGGCU